RNAcentral lists this ribosomal RNA (432 nucleotides) under uncultured bacterium. RNAcentral describes it as "partial 16S ribosomal RNA". It matches the Rfam family "Bacterial small subunit ribosomal RNA", at positions 29 to 507 of the family's 1533-position model. The record is from RNAcentral.
ACGAACGCUGGCGGCAUGCCUAACACAUGCAAGUCGAACGAACCCUUCGGGGUUAGUGGCGCACGGGUGCGUAACGCGUGGGAAUCUGCCCUUUGCUUCGGAAUAACUCAGGGAAACUUGUGCUAAUACCGGAUGAUGUCUUCGGACCAAAGAUUUAUCGGCAAGGGAUGAGCCCGCGUAGGAUUAGGUAGUUGGUGGGGUAAAGGCCUACCAAGCCGACGAUCCUUAGCUGGUCUGAGAGGAUGAUCAGCCACACUGGGACUGAGACACGGCCCAGACUCCUACGGGAAGCAGCAGUGGGGAAUAUUGGACAAUGGGCGCAAGCCUGAUCCAGCAAUGCCGCGUGAGUGAUGAAGGCCCUCGGGUCGUAAAGCUCUUUUACCAGGGACGAUAAUGACAGUACCUGGAGAAUAAGCUCCGGCUAACUCCGUG